UGGGGAAUAUUGCACAAUGGGCGCAAGCCUGAUGCAGCCAUGCCGCGUGUAUGAAGAAGGCCUUCGGGUUGUAAAGUACUUUCAGCGGGGAGGAAGGCGAUAAGGUUAAUAACCUUGUCGAUUGACGUUACCCGCAGAAGAAGCACCGGCUAACUCCGUGCCAGCAGCCGCGGUAAUACGGAGGGGGCAAGCGUUAAUCGGCAUUACUGGGCGUAAAGCGCACGCAGGCGGUCUGUCAAGUCGGAUGUGAAAUCCCCGGGCUCAACCUGGGAACUGCAUUCGAAACUGGCAGGCUAGAGUCUUGUAGAGGGGGGUAGAAUUCCAGGUGUAGCGGUGAAAUGCGUAGAGAUCUGGAGGAAUACCGGUGGCGAAGGCGGCCCCCUGGACAAAGACUGACGCUCAGGUGCGAAAGCGUGGGGAGCAAACA
Molecule: ribosomal RNA, 427 nt
Filed under: uncultured bacterium
Lineage: Bacteria
Description: partial 16S ribosomal RNA
Rfam family: Bacterial small subunit ribosomal RNA
Source: RNAcentral